CCUACGGGGGGCAGCAGUGAGGAAUAUUGGUCAAUGGGCGGAAGCCUGAACCAGCCAAGUAGCGUGCAGGAUGACGGCCCUACGGGUUGUAAACUGCUUUUAUACGGGAAUAACGCGCCUUACGUGUAGGGCUGUGCAUGUACCGUAUGAAUAAGGACAGGCGAAUGCCGUGCCAGCAGCCGCGGUAAUACGGAAGGUCCGGGCGUUAUCCGGAUUUAUUGGGUUUAAAGGGAGCGUAGGGGGCAUGUCAAGCGUGCUGUGAAAUGUCCGGGCUCAACCCGGGCCUUGCAGCGCAAACUGGCGUUCUUGCGUCCGCGUCACGCAGGCGGAAUUCGUCGUGUAGCGGU
RNAcentral lists this ribosomal RNA (347 nucleotides) under uncultured bacterium. Its description in RNAcentral is "partial 16S ribosomal RNA". It matches the Rfam family "Bacterial small subunit ribosomal RNA", at positions 338 to 682 of the family's 1533-position model. The record is from RNAcentral.